Molecule: ribosomal RNA, 497 nt
Filed under: uncultured bacterium
Lineage: Bacteria
Description: partial 16S ribosomal RNA
Rfam family: Bacterial small subunit ribosomal RNA
Source: RNAcentral
GAUGAACGCUGGCGGCGUGCCUAAUACAUGCAAGUCGAGCGAACGGACGAGGAGCUUGCUCCUCUGACGUUAGCGGCGGACGGGUGAGUAACACGUGGAUAACCUACCUAUAAGACUGGGAUAACUUCGGGAAACCGGAGCUAAUACCGGAUAAUAUAUUGAACCGCAUGGUUCAAUAGUGAAAGACGGUUUUGCUGUCACUUAUAGAUGGAUCCGCGCCGCAUUAGCUAGUUGGUAAGGUAACGGCUUACCAAGGCAACGAUGCAUAGCCGACCUGAGAGGGUGAUCGGCCACACUGGAACUGAGACACGGUCCAGACUCCUACGGGAGGCAGCAGUAGGGAAUCUUCCGCAAUGGGCGAAAACCUGACGGAGCAACGCCGCGUGAGUGAUGAAGGUCUUCGGAUCGUAAAACUCUGUUAUUAGGGAAGAACAAAUGUGUAAGUAACUAUGCACGUCUUGACGGUACCUAAUCAGAAAGCCACGGCUAACUACGUG